RNAcentral lists this ribosomal RNA (505 nucleotides) under uncultured bacterium. Its description in RNAcentral is "partial 16S ribosomal RNA". It matches the Rfam family "Bacterial small subunit ribosomal RNA", at positions 28 to 507 of the family's 1533-position model. The record is from RNAcentral.
GACGAACGCUGGCGGCGUGCCUAAUACAUGCAAGUAGAACGCACAGUUUAUACCGUAGCUUGCUACACCAUAAACUGUGAGUUGCGAACGGGUGAGUAACGCGUAGGUAACCUGCCUGGUAGCGGGGGAUAACUAUUGGAAACGAUAGCUAAUACCGCAUAAUAUUGAUUAUUGCAUGAUAAUUGAUUGAAAGAUGCUAUUGCAUCACUACCAGAUGGACCUGCGUUGUAUUAGCUAGUAGGUGAGGUAACGGCUCACCUAGGCGACGAUACAUAGCCGAACUGAGAGGGUGAUCCGCCACACUGGGACUGAGACACGGCCCAGACUCCUACGGGAGGCAGCAGUAGGGAAUCUUCGGCAAUGGACGAAAGUCUGACCGAGCAACGCCGCGUGAGUGAAGAAGGGUUUCGGAUCGUAAAGCUCUGUUGUAAGAGAAGAACGGGUGUGAGAGUGGAAAGUUCACACUGUGACGGUAUCUUACCAGAAAGGGACGGCUAACUACGUG